GGCGGUAUUUUAGUCUAUUCAGAGGAAUCUGUCCUAUAAUUGAUAAUCCACGAUUUAAUUUACUUUUAGAAAAAAUUUAUAUAUCGUCGUAGUUUGAAUAUUUUAAAAGAAUUUUAAUGUUCAAAAUUUUUUAUAAAAUUAAAUCAGAUCAAGGUGUAGUUUAUAUAAAAGAAGAGAUGGAUUACAUUAAAUUUAUUUAAAGAUUAAUUUUUGUAAAAUUUUAUGAAUAUGGAUUUGAUAGUAAUUUUUUAAAAAUUUUAAAAAUGAUUUAAGCUCUAAAAUAUGUACACAUCGCCCG
Molecule: ribosomal RNA, 298 nt
Filed under: Desmocerus californicus dimorphus
Lineage: Eukaryota; Metazoa; Arthropoda; Insecta; Coleoptera; Cerambycidae
Description: partial small subunit ribosomal RNA
Source: RNAcentral